Molecule: ribosomal RNA, 497 nt
Filed under: uncultured bacterium
Lineage: Bacteria
Description: partial 16S ribosomal RNA
Rfam family: Bacterial small subunit ribosomal RNA
Source: RNAcentral
GAUGAACGCUGGCGGCGUGCCUAAUACAUGCAAGUCGAGCGAACAGACGAGGAGCUUGCUCCUCUGACGUUAGCGGCGGACGAGUGAGUAACACGUGGAUAACCUACCUAUAAGACUGGGAUAACUUCGGGAAACCGGAGCUAAUACCGGAUAAUAUAUUGAACCGCAUGGUUCAAUAGUGAAAGACGGUUUUGCUGUCACUUAUAGAUGGAUCCGCGCCGCAUUAGCUAGUUGGUAAGGUAACGGCUUACCAAGGCAACGAUGCGUAGCCGACCUGAGAGGGUGAUCGGCCACACUGGAACUGAGACACGGUCCAGACUCCUACGGGAGGCAGCAGUAGGGAAUCUUCCGCAAUGGGCGAAAGCCUGACGGGGCAACGCCGCGUGAGUGAUGAAGGUCUUCGGAUCGUAAAACUCUGUUAUUAGGGAAGAACAAAUGUGUAAGUAACUAUGCACGUCUUGACGGUACCUAAUCAGAAAGCCACGGCUAACUACGUG